GUGGUUUAAUUCGAUGCAACGCGAAGAACCUUACCUGGGCUUGACAUCUGCAGAAUCUUUCAGAGAUGAGGGAGUGCCUUUCGGGGAACUGCAAGACAGGUGCUGCAUGGCUGUCGUCAGCUCGUGCCGUGAGAUGUUGGGUUAAGUCCCGCAACAAGCGCAACCCCUUUCUCCAGUUGCCAUCAUUUAGUUGGGGACUCUGGAGAGACCGCUGCAGUAACAAUGCAGAGGAAGGUGGGGACGACGUCAAGUCAUCAUGGUCCUUAUGUCCAGGGCUACACACGUGCUACAAUGGUAGUUACAGAGGGCAGCGAGGCCGCAAGGCGGAGCUAAUCUCAGAAAAGCUGCCACAGUUCGGAUUGAGGUCUGCAACUCGGCCUCAUGAAGCUGGAAUCGCUAGUAAUCGCGUAACAGCAUGACGCGGUGAAUACGUUCCCGGGCCUU
This 444-nucleotide ribosomal RNA is filed under the name uncultured Spirochaetota bacterium. Its description in RNAcentral is "bacterial SSU rRNA". It matches the Rfam family "Bacterial small subunit ribosomal RNA", at positions 941 to 1382 of the family's 1533-position model. Lineage: Bacteria; Pseudomonadati; Spirochaetota. The record is from RNAcentral.